This 385-nucleotide ribosomal RNA is filed under the name uncultured bacterium. RNAcentral's name for it is "bacterial SSU rRNA". It matches the Rfam family "Bacterial small subunit ribosomal RNA", at positions 28 to 426 of the family's 1533-position model. The record is from RNAcentral.
GACGAACGCUUGCGGCGUGCCUAAGAAAUGCAAGUCGAGCGGGGAGCAAUCCCAGCGGCGAACGGUCGCGUAACACGUAAGCAACCUGCCCGAAAGACCGGGAUAACGUUCCGAAAGGGCGCUAAUACCGGAUGUGACCACUAUUGGACAUCCUUUGGUGAUUAAAUCAUUUAUGGCUUUCGGAGGGGCUUGCGGCCUAUCAGCUAGAUGGUGAGGUAACGGCUCACCAUGGCGUCGACGGGUAGCUGGUCUGAGAGGAUGGUCAGCCGGACUGGGACUGAGAUACGGCCCAGACUCCUACGGGGGGCAGCAAUUAGGAAUCUUGCGCAAUGGGCGAAAGCCUGACGCAGCGACGCCGCGUGGAGGAGGAAGGCCUUCGGGUUGU